UACAACUUUCAGCAACGGAUCUCUUGGCUCUCCCAUCGAUGAAGAACGCAGCGAAAUGCGAUAAGUAAUGUGAAUUGCAGAAUUCAGUGAAUCAUCGAAUCUUUGAACGCACCUUGCGCCCUUUGGUAUUCCGAAGGGCAUGCCUGUUUGAGUGUCAUUA
This 160-nucleotide ribosomal RNA is filed under the name Mycetinis opacus. Its description in RNAcentral is "5.8S ribosomal RNA". It matches the Rfam family "5.8S ribosomal RNA". From Rfam's summary of the family: 5.8S ribosomal RNA (5.8S rRNA) is a component of the large subunit of the eukaryotic ribosome. It is transcribed by RNA polymerase I as part of the 45S precursor that also contains 18S and 28S rRNA. The record is from RNAcentral. Lineage: Eukaryota; Fungi; Basidiomycota; Agaricomycetes; Agaricales; Omphalotaceae.